GCUUCUGUAGCUCAACGGUGAGAGCAAUCCGCUCAUAACGGAGAGGUUUUAAGUUCGAAUCUUAACAGAAGCA
This 73-nucleotide transfer RNA is filed under the name Caudoviricetes sp. RNAcentral's name for it is "tRNA-Met". It matches the Rfam family "tRNA". From Rfam's summary of the family: Transfer RNA (tRNA) molecules are approximately 80 nucleotides in length. Their secondary structure includes four short double-helical elements and three loops (D, anti-codon, and T loops). Further hydrogen bonds mediate the characteristic L-shaped molecular structure. tRNAs have two regions of fundamental functional importance: the anti-codon, which is responsible for specific mRNA codon recognition, and the 3' end, to which the tRNAs corresponding amino acid is attached (by aminoacyl-tRNA synthetases). tRNAs cope with the degeneracy of the genetic code in two manners: having more than one tRNA (with a specific anti-codon) for a particular amino acid; and 'wobble' base-pairing, i.e. permitting non-standard base-pairing at the 3rd anti-codon position. The record is from RNAcentral. Lineage: Duplodnaviria; Heunggongvirae; Uroviricota; Caudoviricetes.